UAUGAUUCAAGAAGUCAAUGAAGCUUA
This 27-nucleotide non-coding RNA is filed under the name Mus musculus (house mouse). Lineage: Eukaryota; Metazoa; Chordata; Mammalia; Rodentia; Muridae. The record is from RNAcentral.